RNAcentral lists this non-coding RNA (45 nucleotides) under Schistosoma curassoni. Lineage: Eukaryota; Metazoa; Platyhelminthes; Trematoda; Strigeidida; Schistosomatidae. The record is from RNAcentral.
AUUCAGCUGAUGAGUCCCAAACAGGACAAAACGCGAGUGAUAAGU